GAACUCACUUCAGCAGCACGUGUAGUAAAACUGGAAUGACACAGAGAAGAUUAGCAUGACUACUGUACAAGGAUGACAUGCAAAUUAAUGAAAUAUUCCAUAUUUUU
Molecule: small nuclear RNA, 107 nt
Organism: Sorex fumeus (smoky shrew)
Lineage: Eukaryota; Metazoa; Chordata; Mammalia; Eulipotyphla; Soricidae
Source: RefSeq, a predicted model, not a curated record